Molecule: long non-coding RNA, 710 nt
Filed under: Homo sapiens (human)
Lineage: Eukaryota; Metazoa; Chordata; Mammalia; Primates; Hominidae
Description: non-protein coding lnc-TMEM161B-13:4
Source: RNAcentral
AGAAGAUACCCUCUACUAGUCACUUGACGGGCAGGAGGUGCAACGCGGAAGGAAACAUCACGGAUUGGGGGUACUGGAAACUUUUAAAAGGUCUGGAAAAUCCCUCCGAUUUAGUGGAUGCUUUUCCGCGGCAGUUUAAAAACUGAAAGGCAACAUAGAAGCUUCUACUUUAAAAAGGUAGCCCUGGUGAUCCAAUCCCGAUCUUUUGGCUGGCAAAGAGGCAAUUGCCUGAAAACGAAAUUGGCAUUCAAAAAGGGUCAGGUACAGCCCAGAGUCCCUGUACUCAUUUUAGACUCAAGAAAAGGCGCUUCCCAUCCCUAGCUCUUUUAGAAAGAGAAAGGAAAAGGAGGAGAAAGCAGAAAGGGGGGAGAGCCGAGAGCGCAAGAAAGAAAGAGAAGAGGGGGAUAUUUAGCAAGUUAAAAGGUUAAAUGUUUGAACAGAUUUGUAAAUAUAUAGACAACCCUUGUUAUUUGGGAUGUGUAAUAAUGCCUUUUUGUGGCGCUGUCUGGCUGGGAGGCUGCCGAGGACCGCUCCCUGGCACCUUCUUCACUAGGAAAUGAACAGUAAGUUCAUGGACUCAAAAAACAAAAACAGGGCUACCCUCCUUUGGAGGAAAGGGAAUUCUCCCUCUAUUCGGUCAUUGAAAAAUAAAAAGAAAAGAAGAAAAAAGAAAGUAAAAGGAAAGCAGGAUCAAUGAGAUUUUAUUUUUC